This 434-nucleotide ribosomal RNA is filed under the name uncultured bacterium. RNAcentral's name for it is "bacterial SSU rRNA". It matches the Rfam family "Bacterial small subunit ribosomal RNA", at positions 32 to 507 of the family's 1533-position model. The record is from RNAcentral.
AGCGACGCUGGCGGCAGGCCUAAAACAUGCAAGUCGAACGGAUCCUUCGGGAUUAGUGGCGGACGGGUGAGUAACACGUGGGAACGUGCCUUUUGGUUCGGAACAACUCAGGGAAACUUGAGCUAAUACCGAAUGUGCCCUUCGGGGGAAAGAUUUAUCGCCAUUAGGAGCGGCCCGCGUCUGAUUAGCUUGUUGGUGAGGUAAAGGCUCACCAAGGCGACGAUCAGUAGCUGGUCUGAGAGGAUGAUCAGCCACACUGGGACUGAGACACGGCCCAGACUCCUACGGGAGGCAGCAGUUAGGAAUCUUGCGCAAGUGGGGGAAACCCUGACGCAGCCAUGCCGCGUGAAUGAUGAAGGUCUUAGGAUUGUAAAAUUCUUUCAGCGGGGACGAUAAUGACGGUACCCGCAGAAGAAGCCCCGGCUAACUUCGUG